UGUAACAGAGCCCAAAAAGACAAAGCAUGAUAAAUAUGCAAUAACCUGUUGACGCCAAAGCACACAGCACUGGAACUGGUAACACUGGAAACGCUGCGCUUCGUGCUGAGCCUAUCAAGACCCAACUAGGUUGGUUCCAUCAACAAGACCUCAGCUGAACCCAGAGGAAGACCAUGAUCUGCUAUGCAGGCAGUAAAACGUAACUGUGGGCCCUCUGGGUGAUGAGACACAAUCCUCUUUCUAUCUACCUAUCCAUUUUUCCAAAAUCUAUCAAUCCAUCAAACCAUCAUAUACUUAUGCGUCCAUCCAUUAAACCUUCAUAUACUUAUGCGUCCAUCCAUCCAACUAUCAUAUACUUAUGCGUCCAUCCAUCCAACCAUCAUAUACUUAAGCUCAUCCAUCCAACCAUCAUAUACUUAUUCGUCCACCUAUCCAACCUUUGUAUACUUAUCCAUCCAUCAAUUCAUGCAACCAUCAUAUACCCUACCCUGCAGCUAUACAACCAUUCUAUCCAUCCAUCCAUCAUAAUGUCACAGCGCUGUCAGUCCUUCCCUGUCAUUUCCACAUCUCACUCCACCUAAUCAGUUCAUUCUGUACAGCUGCUAGUCACAUUUCACCUCGUCAGCCCAAUCACAUUCACCUGUCUACCCAACUCACUCCCUUCAGUAUUUAAAGCCCAGUCACUCACUGCCAGAUUGUCCUCUCAUUUAUGAUAGACCUUCCAGCACUUUCUUUUGGACUGAUUCCCUGUUGUCGACCCUGACUAUCUCGUCUCGCCCUGCCCCAGUAGUUCACCCAGUCUUCCGACCACGUCUUUUGCUAGUGUCUCUGUAAACUGUUGGUUUGCAUUGAGGAUAAUGAAAUAGUCUGUUUGGAACUACAACUGCUGUUUGUCGUAUUGCAUCUGAGUCCGUACCUCAUCCAUUACACAUUUACUUAACCACCCAUCCAUCAAUUAAUCCAAUCAUCAUAUACUUAUCCGCCCAUCCAUCCAUCAUAUACUUAUCCAUCCAAGCACCAUAUACUGUACUUAUCUGUCUAUCCAUACAACCAUCAUAUACCUAUCCUUAUCUGUCCAUUUAUCAUAUACUUGUACAUCUAUCCAUCCAUUAAUCCAAACAUCCAACACUCCAUGGCGUUAUUAUUAUUAGUAUUGACAGUAUUACUACUUUGUUGGAUGUGGGCGUUUUCUGUUGCUAUUUGUUGAACUUU
Molecule: long non-coding RNA, 1212 nt
Organism: Gasterosteus aculeatus aculeatus (three-spined stickleback)
Lineage: Eukaryota; Metazoa; Chordata; Actinopteri; Perciformes; Gasterosteidae
Source: Ensembl